Bemisia tabaci is the source of this 978-nucleotide non-coding RNA. Lineage: Eukaryota; Metazoa; Arthropoda; Insecta; Hemiptera; Aleyrodidae. The record is from RefSeq and is a predicted model, not a curated record.
GAGUAGCAAAGGUCGACAUCGGCAAUGGUCGAUUCGUGGCGAACGGUCAGAGGUCGAUUCGCGAACGGUCAUACGUCGAUGCCCGAACGCACCGAACCAAUCGAACCUAGUUCACCAUUGUGCAUUUUAUUUUACUUUUCAUUUUAUCGUUUGUUGCAAAUGGAGCAUUAUGUAUAGGCUGCUUGUCUUUGCCGUGGACGACACUAAAGACCUCUAAGUUUAAGUAGCUCUCUUAGCAGAACGAGAGCCAUACUGGAUCAGGAAAUUCCAUCAAUGCACCCUGUCUCUCUUUAGUAGGGAGCCGAGGCACCCUUCUAUGACUCAGUCUUGUCACGUUACAGUAUGAGGAACUGCGCAAAAGCAGAUUGAAGCAAAGGAAACUGUGUCGGUAGUAAAUUCUAGGUAUCCUACAUGAAUGUAUUUAUUUCCAAGUAACUCCUGUGGGUAACAAAACGUUGGCUUCCACAUCAAGAAUAAAGUUGUCAAAGUAGAGGCUUGAAAGCAACUUACAAUGAGGUAGAUGUAAAGACCUGUGAUAUUAAAGCGUAUUAAAGGUGAUAAGGAACUUUACCAUCGAAGAAAUCUUCAGUCAUGGCGACUAUGACCAUGGAGCAGAGACGUUUCCCUCGCUGUAUAAGAAAAUCUGCCACUAAAGUUUUUCAAGAACAAGAAAAGCUACAGUUUCAUCUGCAUUUUUCAUCAACUUGGUUCUCAAGAAACCUUCAAUGAUCAGACGCAAUGAUAUGCUCCUCUGGCGUGGUAGCGAGUGGAGAUAAUCUAUGAACUGCUGAAAGACUACUUUUUCCUCAAAAAGUGGAUUUUUCCACCUACCUAAGCGAAAGUCGUAGAAUGUCCACUCAAUUAGGGCUCAGACUGAAAAAGAAAUUAAUUAAUUAAUUUAAACUGACUCAAAAACACUUCUGGAUUGAACAGCUUCGAUUAACUUCCCACCGUUCCGACAAUGAACAGCAGUGGCUA